Molecule: long non-coding RNA, 438 nt
Organism: Canis lupus familiaris (dog)
Lineage: Eukaryota; Metazoa; Chordata; Mammalia; Carnivora; Canidae
Exons: 2
Source: RefSeq, a predicted model, not a curated record
CCCAGCUGGACCCCACGAACACUACUGCUGACAGGAAUAUCAGACCAUUGCAGCCUAUCUCCAUUGAGUAGAAGGUAGAAUUGGCUCCUCACUCAUCUCUGCUCAAAACCAUGGAAUGUGUGCUGUGGGUGCGGUGGACAGAGUAUUAAAUAUUGCAUUGCUCGAGUAUGCUAGGUAUCAUCCAAAAGGUUUUCUGUUCUGUGAGGAGACUCGAGUAGCAGAAGCUUGAUAAGCACUUGUUAUUGUGGUCUGCCCAGGUGAACAAGCACAGAUAGCACAUCAAGUCAAGGAUGCACCGUUCACACAGCCAAAGACAAGCCGUGCCAGCUGAGGUAAACCUGGGUUACUAAUGCACACAAGUAAGGUCUAGACUCCAACCAGUGAAACCCAAACAAAAUUUCAUGAGCCAAAUAAAUGUUUGUUCUUUUCAAACACUAA